GACGAACGCUGGCGGUGCGCCUUAUGCAUGCAAGUUGAGCGAAGCUUUUCAGUAGUUUACUACAGAAAAUGACUGAGCGGCGAACGGGUGAGUAACGCGUGAGCAAUCUACCUUAGUUACUGGGAUAGCCCGAGGAAACUCGGAUUAAUACCGGAUAUUCUUAUUUUUUCACAUGAAGUUUUAAGGAAAGGUCAGCCGAACUAAGAUGAGCUCGCGUUCUAUCAGCUAGUUGGUGGGGUAAAAGCCUACCAAGGCAACGACGGAUAGCUGGUCUGAGAGGACGAUCAGCCACACUGGGACUGAGACACGGCCCAG
This 315-nucleotide ribosomal RNA is filed under the name uncultured bacterium. Its description in RNAcentral is "bacterial SSU rRNA". It matches the Rfam family "Bacterial small subunit ribosomal RNA", at positions 28 to 334 of the family's 1533-position model. The record is from RNAcentral.